This 352-nucleotide unclassified non-coding RNA is filed under the name soil metagenome. RNAcentral's name for it is "partial contains 5.8S ribosomal RNA, internal transcribed spacer 2, and large subunit ribosomal RNA". The stretch from base 1 to 120 matches the Rfam family "5.8S ribosomal RNA", at positions 35 to 154 of the family's 154-position model. The record is from RNAcentral.
GAUGAAGAACGUAGCGAAAUGCGAAAAGUAAUGUGAAUUGCAGAAUUCAGUGAAUCAUCGAAUCUUUGAACGCACAUUGCGCCCGCUGGUACUCCGGCGGGCACGCCUGUCCGAGCGUCAUUUCAACCCUCACGCCCUCCUUCGGGAUGGGCCUGGUGUUGGGGCUCGGCCGCCAUCUCCGGCGGCCGUCCCCUAAAUACAGUGGCGGUCACGUCGCGACUCCUUUGCGUAGUAGAAACACCUCGCUCCGGAUAGCAACGCGGUCCACGCCGUAAAACCCCCAAUUUUCAAUGGUUGACCUCGGAUCAGGUGGGAAUACCCGCUGAACUUAAGCAUAUCAAUAAGCGGAGGA